RNAcentral lists this ribosomal RNA (318 nucleotides) under Triticum aestivum (bread wheat). Its description in RNAcentral is "partial small subunit ribosomal RNA". The record is from RNAcentral. Lineage: Eukaryota; Viridiplantae; Streptophyta; Magnoliopsida; Poales; Poaceae.
AUGGCAUGUGUGCGAUCAGUCAAAUAUUCGAUGAAGUUUAAUGGGAGGUUACUGCAAUCAUUCACACCUUCUAGGGGCCUUCGCCAAGGUGACCCCCUAUCCCCAUUUUUGUUCCUAUUUGUUGCUGAUGCUCUCUCUGCUCUAAUUUCCAAAUCAUUAACAAAUGGGGAGUUGCAAGGAGUUACUAUUUGUCGUGGUGCUCCGGUGAUAUCUCACCUCUUACUUGCGGAUGAUACAAUGUUGUUGUUUCAUGCAUCUGGCCAGCAGGCUAACACUAUAAAAGGCUUGUUGAACACUUAUGCCUCAGCGAUGGGUUAA